AGAACGAACGCUGGCGGCAGGCCUAAUACAUGCAAGUCGAACGCCGUAGCAAUACGGAGUGGCAGACGGGUGAGUAACGCGUGGGAAUCUUCCUAAUGGUACGGAAUAGCCCGGGGAAACCCGGAGUAAUACCGUAUACGCCCGUAAGGGGAAAGAUUUAUCGCCAUUAGAUGAGCCCGCGUCGGAUUAGCUAGUUGGUGGGGUAAUGGCCUACCAAGGCUACGAUCCGUAGCUGGUCUGAGAGGAUGAUCAGCCACACUGGGACUGAGACACGGCCCAGACUCCUACGGGAGGCAGCAGUAGGGAAUAUUGGACAAUGGGCGAAAGCCUGAUCCAGCCAUGCCGCGUGAGUGAUGAAGGCCUUCGGGUUGUAAACCACUGUCGGGAGGACGAAUGCGCCGCAAGGCGAGUGACGGUACCUCCAAAGGAGCACCGGCUAACUCCGUGCCAGCAGCCG
Molecule: ribosomal RNA, 457 nt
Filed under: uncultured bacterium
Lineage: Bacteria
Description: SSU rRNA
Rfam family: Bacterial small subunit ribosomal RNA
Source: RNAcentral